CCGCAUUUCUCAAAGAACACUCUAGAAAAACUGGACCGUUGGACUCGACGUCAAUCAAAACCAGGACGACGACGAACGUGACGAACACAUUUCUAAAAAGAGACAGAAGAUAUCUUUCGAGGUUGAUGCAGGAGAAGAUGAACGAAGCAUCAGGGAACAUCUCCGAGUAAUAAAGGAGGAAACAGAGAACCUUAGACCAAACUUAGAGCUUCUUAAAGAAAGGAUGGCGCUGAUAAAAAUCUACCAGAUAAAUUUUUGUGUCUAACCACAGCACGGAGGAGAUUAUCUCUGAGUUUCCAUGUUUCAGACUGGCCAAAAUGCUCCUUUGGGGUAUGAGAGACCGUACCAACAUUGAUGUGGACCAACAUAUUCUCUCUCAGCUCUCGGUAAUGGCAUCUAAAGUCCUUCAAGUUUCACGGAGUCCCCUGAUGGAGAAGUUCAGGUGUGUGGUUGAUGACUGUGAAGAUGACAGACUGAAAAAAGGACUACAGUUGGAAGCAGCUAUUCUGCUCUUGCCUGCACUGUUUAAGGAGGACCCGGGUUUGCUGUUUGAAGUUGAGGUGAGCCAUGAACA
Molecule: long non-coding RNA, 574 nt
Organism: Carassius carassius (crucian carp)
Lineage: Eukaryota; Metazoa; Chordata; Actinopteri; Cypriniformes; Cyprinidae
Exons: 4
Source: RefSeq, a predicted model, not a curated record